Molecule: ribosomal RNA, 255 nt
Filed under: uncultured bacterium
Lineage: Bacteria
Description: partial 16S ribosomal RNA
Rfam family: Bacterial small subunit ribosomal RNA
Source: RNAcentral
UACGUAGGGCGCAAGCGUUAUCCGGAAUUAUUGGGCGUAAAGAGCUCGUAGGCGGUUUGUCGCGUCUGCCGUGAAAGUCCGGGGGCUCAACUCCGGAUCUGCGGUGGGUACGGGCAGACUAGAGUGAUGUAGGGGAGACUGGAAUUCCUGGUGUAGCGGUGAAAUGCGCAGAUAUCAGGAGGAACACCGAUGGCGAAGGCAGGUCUCUGGGCAUUAACUGACGCUGAGGAGCGAAAGCAUGGGGGAGCGAACAGG